Molecule: ribosomal RNA, 368 nt
Filed under: uncultured bacterium
Lineage: Bacteria
Description: bacterial SSU rRNA
Rfam family: Bacterial small subunit ribosomal RNA
Source: RNAcentral
AGAGUUUGAUCCUGGCUCAGAUUGAACGCUGGCGGCAUGCCUUACACAUGCAAGUCGAACGGCAGCGCGGGGCAACCUGGCGGCGAGUGGCGAACGGGUGAGUAAUAUAUCGGAACGUACCCUGGAGUGGGGGAUAACGUAGCGAAAGUUACGCUAAUACCGCAUACGAUCUAAGGAUGAAAGUGGGGGAUCGCAAGACCUCAUGCUCCUGGAGCGGCCGAUAUCUGAUUAGCUAGUUGGCGGGGUAAAAGCCCACCAAGGCAACGAUCAGUAGCUGGUCUGAGAGGACGACCAGCCACACUGGAACUGAGACACGGUCCAGACUCCUACGGGAGGCAGCAGUGGGGAAUUUUGGACAAUGGGCGCAA